Long non-coding RNA from Anguilla rostrata (American eel), 398 nucleotides. RefSeq lists it as uncharacterized. The record is from RefSeq and is a predicted model, not a curated record. NCBI's taxonomy places the organism in Eukaryota, Metazoa, Chordata, Actinopteri, Anguilliformes, Anguillidae. The transcript is spliced from 2 exons.
AAUGACCAGUAAUAAAAAUUGCUGCCACAUAAAACAAAAUAGAUAAACAUGGAAGAAAGACUGGCUGAAACCAGCUGAAGAAGAUAUGCUGGGUUUCUCAUUAGAAAUGUCAAGAAAAUAAUAACUUUGAUGGUGGAAUAAUCAUGAUAAUUUUUGCAACGUGAUCUUUUUUUUUUGCUGUGGGUAACACUGACAGUGGUAUUUUUGGCCUUGGUAUUGCAGUGUCAAAAAUGUGGAACAGGCACAGACUAGCCUAGACCCAGCACAGACAAGAUGGCGGACACAUACUUCAGCACCCUGCAGACCAGCACUAAACCAAGUUAAAAACAGACAGAGAGACUAAUAACAAGGCCCAGGGAGACCCCUGAAACACCAAUAACACACUGACCAGCAACAGA